This is an RNA transcript of Gopherus flavomarginatus (Mexican gopher tortoise), 3720 nucleotides long. It is a transcript of the gene named sphingosine kinase 1, with no coding region annotated. The transcript has 3 exons. Lineage: Eukaryota; Metazoa; Chordata; Testudines; Testudinidae. The record is from RefSeq and is a predicted model, not a curated record.
CAUUCAGCCGGUGUCAGAGCCUCGCUGCAGCCGCAGGGCCAGUCCCUGCGAGUGACAGCAGCGGCGGCGGCGGCUCUGCCCCGCUCUCUGCCCCGCCAGGUGCCGCUGGACCAGCCGCUAAAUGAGCCCGCGAUGGAGGGCGCGCAGCCGGGCCCCGGGGCAAACUCCCCGCAGAUCGACUCCGCCGAAGUUUUGCUCCACGGGGUGUUCGCCCUGCUGGACCCCGCUCCCAAGACGAACUACGCGCUGAGUCUCACCCGCGGCCGGGAGCUGCGCAUGCAGCGGGUCGGCUCCGCGCCGGCCGGCCGGAGCGCCGCGCUGAAGCUGGCGGACUGCAUCGGCUGCUCUGCCUUCGCCGGCCGGGAGCCGGAGCUGGAGCCGGCCGCCUACUUCUCCGUCUUCUGCUACCCCUUCCGCAAGGGCUGGUGGGACACCGCGCCCGCCAGGCAGCGCCUCGCCAGGACUUUCCGCGUGUGCGUAGCCCAGGAGCCGGGGGACAAUCUGAAGCUGGCGGAGACGUGGGCUGGGAAGAUCAGGGAGCUGGCUGCGCCCAGCAUCCCCCGGCAGGAAGUUCUGAAGGAUGCUGUGAUGAUCCUGGGACCAUGCGUCUCCCAACCAAUCAGUGCUCUCUGUGCCUGCUUGGACAACAUGAAGCCUACUUCCUGUGUGUGGGGUGUGUUGCUCUCUUCAUGUCCUGAAUACAGCAACAGCUCUCCUGUCAACAGUCGUCUCUGUCCCGCUUGCGUCCAUCUUGUCUCACUAAUGCCUAAUAGGGUCAGGUUGUUGCUCCUCAUCUCUGCUGCAACCUGCGCCGUAUUUCCUGACUCGUACAUGGUCCUCACGUUCCAUGUGCCUAUGGUAAUCCUCCUGGUUGCAAGAAGGGUAAUCGGCUUAGUGGCUUCCUCACGGCUUUUACCACCCAGCACCAUGCAUCUUCGAAUUGAAGACCCUUCUUUUUCCAGGGUAAAAGUCUCUGUUGUCUCUAUUGUCGGCGUUUCUGUAGCAGGUUGGUUUUUUAUGGGGUGGAGUUGCCAGCCCCACGCCCAACCCUUCUCCUUUAUCCUGACUUGGGACAGGCAGAUGGCCCCAAAGGACCUCUCUGGUGGACUAUCUGGAAAGUUCAGCAAGCCAGAAUGUCCCGUUAAAGACAAGCAGGGAAAGUCUAUAACAGGAAUAGAACAACAGAUGAACAGAUGGGCGGAGCACUUUGAGGAACUCCUGAACAGACCAGUACCACCAAAUCCACCAGAUAUCAACUCAGCUAACGAGGACCUCCCAAUUAAUUGCAAUAAACCAACCAGAGACGAGAUCAAAAAAGCCAUCACGAUGAUGAAGAAUAGGAUGGCGGCUGGACCUGAUGACAUCCCAGCAGAGGCCCUGAAAGCAGACCUGGAUGCUUCAGUGGAAAUGCUGUACCCCCUCUUUGAGAAGAUAUGGGAAGAAGAAGUGAUUCCGGUAGACUGGAAAGAGGGAUCUCUCAUCAAAAUCCCCAAGAAAGGAGACCUUAGCAACUGUGCCAAUUAUAGAGGAAUCACAUUCCUGUCGGUGCCAGGGAAGGUCUUCAACCGAGUCCUCUUAGAGAGAAUGAAGGAUGCCGUCGAUCCACAGCUACGAGAUGAACAGGCAGGUUUCCGGCAGAACAGAUCAUGCACGGACCAGAAAGCAAUGCUUCGCAUCAUAGUCGAGCAGUCUAUAGAGUGGAACUCCUCGUUGUACAUCAAUUUUAUUGACUAUGAGAAAGCGUUCGAUAGCGUGGAUCGAGAGACCCUUUGGAAGCUCCUUCGGCACUACGGCAUCCCAGCAAAGGUGGUCAACCUGAUCAAGAACUCAUAUGACGGUAUACACCGUAGAGUGAUCCAUGGAGGGCAGCUUACUAACAGCUUCCAGGUGCAAACUGGAGUCAGGCAAGGAUGCUUGUUGUCACCACUUCUCUUUCUUCUUGUCAUCGAUUGGAUUAUGAAGACAUCCACCUACGAGCGUAGGAACGGAAUCCAGUGGACGUUGUGGACCCAGCUUGAUGACCUGGACUUUGCUGACGACCUUGCUCUCCUUUCGCACGGUAAACAGCAGAUGCAAGAGAAGAUCAACGUAGUGGCAGCCACGUCAUCACACGUUGGCCUCAACAUUCACAAGGACAAGACCAAGAUCCUUAGGAUUAACUCCACUAGCAAUGACCCAGUCACACUGAAUGGAAGCCCCCUGGAAGAAGUGCAGUCCUUCACAUACCUAGGUAGCAUCAUCGACCAGCAGGGUGGCACAGACGCAGGCAUCAAAGUAAGGAUUGGUAAGGCAAAAGCAGCCUUCUUACAGCUCAAGAACAUCUGGAGCUCUAGAGAGCUGUCUUUGGCAAUAAAAAUUUGACUGUUCAACUCGAAUGUGAAAUUAGUCCUACUGUAUGGAGCUGAAACCUGGAGGACAACCAAAACAACCAUCAGGAAGAUCCAGACCUUCAUAAAUAGCUGCCUCAGAAGGAUUCUCCAGAUCCACUGGCCAGACACCAUCAGUAACAUCCACCUCUUGGAGAGGACCUGUCAACUCCCAGCAGAGGAAGAAAUCAGAAGGAGAAGGUGGGGUUGGAUAGGACAUACACUAUGCAAGCAGCCAACUAACAUCACCAGACAGGCACUGCGGUGGAACCCCCAAGGCAAGCGGAAAAGAGGCCGUCCAAGAAACACCUGGCGACGUGACCUUCAGGCUGAUAGCAAAAAAAUGGGCUAUACCUGGAACCAGUUAGAACGAAUGGCCCAGGAUAGAGGACUCUGGAGAUCUGUUGUUAGCGGCCCAUACCCCAAUUAGGGUGACGGGCAUGAGUGAGUGAGUUACUUUUACAUACAACAAUAGUUUAGUUAUAUGUUAUAGACUUAUAGAAAGAGACCUUCUAAAAACGUUAAAAUGUAUUACUGGCACGCGAAACCUUAAAUCAGAGUGAAUAAAUGAAGACUCGGCACAGCACUUCUGAAAGGCUGCCAACCCCUGCCCCAGACCCACCCAGCUGGGCCAGAAGUCUGUAAAUUGCACAUUAGUCUCAAACCUGGGCCACACUGAGAAAGCUUUACUGACGGAGCCAUGCUGGUAAAAGCCUUGUGAGGAUUCAGUUAUACCAGUAUAACUUAUACCAGCAAUGCUUCUGCCAGUGCCCUGAGCCAGCACAAGCUGGAUUGGUAUAAGCACUGUAAUACCAACAGAGCCACAUCCACCUCAGAGAGUUUUGCUGGUGUAGCUACGCUGGCAAAACUCUCCUGUGUGAACAAGGCCAUGCUGUAGAGAAGGCCCCAGAGUCAAAUCCUAGCCCCAGUGAGAUGCACGACAAAACUCCCUAAGGCUUCAGUGGGUCAGGAUUUCACACAUGGUGUCUAAACGAAAGGCACCUCGAACACAGCCCGUGUGCCGCUGUUGGGUGGGCAGACCGCCCCAGCUCUGGCUCUGACUGGUGGGCCUGCUGCCACGAAUCUGCCACAGGGGCUUUGGUUAUCAUGCUGCAAGUGUUUUGGACCAGGCCUGUUGUUCCCCUGGAUAUCACGAGGGUGCGUUGUAUGGGAAGCCUAUGCCUGGGAGCGUCACCAUCUGUCAAGCCACACGUGCAACUCUGUCCCAAACCGGAACGCAGUCAUGUCUCGCUAAGGAGACGUGGGGUGAUGUGGGGACUCUUGUCGCGGCCCUACCAUGUCCUGGUGCUGCUGAACCCCCAGAGCGGAACAGGGCAAGCGCUGCAGCUGUUCC